RNAcentral lists this non-coding RNA (31 nucleotides) under Mus musculus (house mouse). The record is from RNAcentral. Lineage: Eukaryota; Metazoa; Chordata; Mammalia; Rodentia; Muridae.
UGUAUUGAGGCCUGAACAACAAACAUUGUGU